CGGAUCCUACGGGACGCAGCAGUGAGGAAUAUUGGUCAAUGGUCGGGAGACUGAACCAGCCAAGCCGCGUGAGGGAGGAAGGUACAGAGUAUCGUAAACCUCUUUUGUCAGGGAACAAAGGCGGGGACGUGUCCCCGGAUGAGUGUACCUGAAGAAAAAGCAUCGGCUAACUCCGUGCCAGCAGCCGCGGUAAUACGGAGGAUGCGAGCGUUAUCCGGAUUUAUUGGGUUUAAAGGGAGCGUAGAUGGGUUGUUAAGUCAGGUGUGAAAGUUUGCGGCCCAACCGUAAAAUUGCAAUUGAUACUG
This 305-nucleotide ribosomal RNA is filed under the name uncultured bacterium. Its description in RNAcentral is "bacterial SSU rRNA". It matches the Rfam family "Bacterial small subunit ribosomal RNA", at positions 333 to 635 of the family's 1533-position model. The record is from RNAcentral.